This 425-nucleotide ribosomal RNA is filed under the name uncultured bacterium. RNAcentral describes it as "partial 16S ribosomal RNA". It matches the Rfam family "Bacterial small subunit ribosomal RNA", at positions 354 to 796 of the family's 1533-position model. The record is from RNAcentral.
GUGGGGAAUCUUAGACAAUGGGGGAAACCCUGAUCUAGCCAUGCCGCGUGAGCGAUGAAGGCCUUAGGGUUGUAAAGCUCUUUCAGCUGGGAAGAUAAUGACGGUACCAGCAGAAGAAGCCCCGGCUAACUCCGUGCCAGCAGCCGCGGUAAUACGGAGGGGGCUAGCGUUGUUCGGAAUUACUGGGCGUAAAGCGCGCGUAGGCGGACCAGAAAGUUGGAGGUGAAAUCCCAGGGCUCAACCUUGGAACUGCCUUCAAAACUCCUGGUCUGGAGUUCGAGAGAGGUGAGUGGAAUUCCGAGUGUAGAGGUGAAAUUCGUAGAUAUUAGGAAGAACACCAGUGGCGAAGGCGGCUCACUGGUCCGGUACUGACGCUGAGGUGCGAAAGCGUGGGGAGCAAACAGGAUUAGAUACCCGUGUAGUCC